This is a small nucleolar RNA of Zophobas morio, 68 nucleotides long. NCBI's taxonomy places the organism in Eukaryota, Metazoa, Arthropoda, Insecta, Coleoptera, Tenebrionidae. The record is from RefSeq and is a predicted model, not a curated record.
UAAAUUAAAUGAUGACUACUUUACCGCCCCAGUCUGAUGUCCGUGACUGAUUGGUUUUCUGAUUUUCG